UACGUAGGGUGCGAGCGUUGUCCGGAAUUAUUGGGCGUAAAGGGCUCGUAGGCGGUCUGUCGCGUCGGGAGUGAAAACUCAGGGCUUAACCCUGAGCCUGCUUCCGAUACGGGCAGACUAGAGGUAUGCAGGGGAGAACGGAAUUCCUGGUGUAGCGGUGGAAUGCGCAGAUAUCAGGAGGAACACCGGUGGCGAAGGCGGUUCUCUGGGCAUUACCUGACGCUGAGGCGCGAAAGCUAGGGGAGCAAACGGG
This 253-nucleotide ribosomal RNA is filed under the name uncultured bacterium. RNAcentral's name for it is "partial 16S ribosomal RNA". It matches the Rfam family "Bacterial small subunit ribosomal RNA", at positions 524 to 776 of the family's 1533-position model. The record is from RNAcentral.